UGGUGUAAUUCGGAUAACUUCU
RNAcentral lists this non-coding RNA (22 nucleotides) under Arabidopsis thaliana (thale cress). Lineage: Eukaryota; Viridiplantae; Streptophyta; Magnoliopsida; Brassicales; Brassicaceae. The record is from RNAcentral.